GUUGGGCAUGGUGGUGCAUGCCUGUAAUCCCAGCAAUUGGGGAGGCUGAGGCUGGAGGAUCACAAGUUCCAAGCCAGUCUCAGCAACUUAGGCCCUGAGCAACUUGGUGAGAACUUGUCUCAA
Molecule: small RNA, 123 nt
Filed under: Marmota monax (woodchuck)
Lineage: Eukaryota; Metazoa; Chordata; Mammalia; Rodentia; Sciuridae
Source: RNAcentral